Molecule: ribosomal RNA, 468 nt
Filed under: uncultured bacterium
Lineage: Bacteria
Description: partial 16S ribosomal RNA
Rfam family: Bacterial small subunit ribosomal RNA
Source: RNAcentral
GACGAACGCUGGCGGCGUGCUUAACACAUGCGAGUCGAACGGAAAGGCCCUGCUUUUGUGGGGUGCUCGAGUGGCGAACGGGUGAGUAACACGUGAGUAACCUGCCCUUGACUUUGGGAUAACUUCAGGAAACUGGGGCUAAUACCGGAUAGGAGCUCCUGCUGCAUGGUGGGGGUUGGAAAGUUUCGGCGGUUGGGGAUGGACUCGCGGCUUAUCAGCUUGUUGGUGGGGUAGUGGCUUACCAAGGCUUUGACGGGUAGCCGGCCUGAGAGGGUGACCGGCCACAUUGGGACUGAGAUACGGCCCAGACUCCUACGGGAGGCAGCAGUGGGGAAUAUUGCACAAUGGGCGGAAGCCUGAUGCAGCAACGCCGCGUGCGGGAUGACGGCCUCCGGGUUGUAAACCGCUUUCGCCUGUGACGAAGCGUGAGUGACGGUAAUGGGUAAAGAAGCACCGGCUAACUACGUG